AGUGAACGCUGGCGGUAGGCCUAACACAUGCAAGUCGAACGGCAGCACAGUAAGAGCUUGCUCUUACGGGUGGCGAGUGGCGGACCGGUGAGGAAUACAUCGGAAUCUACUUUUUCGUGGGGGAUAACGUAGGGAAACUUACGCUAAUACCGCAUACGACCUACGGGUGAAAGCAGGGGAUCUUCGGACCUUGCGCGAUUGAAUGAGCCGAUGUCGGAUUAGCUAGUUGGCGGGGUAAAGGCCCACCAAGGCGACGAUCCGUAGCUGGUCUGAGAGGAUGAUCAGCCACACUGGAACUUAGACACGGUCCAGACUCCUACGGGAGGCAGCAGUGGGGAAUAUUGGACAAUGGGCGCAAGCCUGAUCCAGCCAUACCGCGUGGGUGAAGAAGGCCUUCGGGUUGUAAAGCCCUUUUGUUGGGAAAGAAAAGCAGCAGGUUAAUACCCCGCUGUUCUGACGGUACCCAAAGAAUAAGCACCGGCUAACUUCGUG
This 492-nucleotide ribosomal RNA is filed under the name uncultured bacterium. RNAcentral describes it as "partial 16S ribosomal RNA". It matches the Rfam family "Bacterial small subunit ribosomal RNA", at positions 29 to 507 of the family's 1533-position model. The record is from RNAcentral.